This 506-nucleotide ribosomal RNA is filed under the name uncultured bacterium. RNAcentral's name for it is "partial 16S ribosomal RNA". It matches the Rfam family "Bacterial small subunit ribosomal RNA", at positions 29 to 523 of the family's 1533-position model. The record is from RNAcentral.
AUUGAACGCUGGCGGCAGGCCUAACACAUGCAAGUCGGACGGUAGCACAGAGGAGCUUGCUCCUCGGGUGACGAGUGGCGGACGGGUGAGUAAUGUCUGGGGAUCUGCCCGAUAGAGGGGGAUAACCACUGGAAACGGUGGCUAAUACCGCAUAACGUCGCAAGACCAAAGAGGGGGACCUUCGGGCCUCUCACUAUCGGAUGAACCCAGAUGGGAUUAGCUAGGAGGCGGGGUAACGGCCCACCUAGGCGACGAGCCCUAACUGGUCUGAGAGGAUGACCAGCCACACUGGAACUGAGACACGGUCCGGACUCCUACGGGAGGCAGCAGUGGGGAAUAUUGCACAAUGGGCGCAAGCCUGAUGCAGCCAUGCCGCGUGUAUGGAGAAGGCCUUCGGGUUGUAAAGUACUUUCAGCGGGGAGGAAGGCGAUGUGGUUAAUAACCGCGUCGAUUGACGUUACCCGCAGAAGAAGCACCGGCUAACUCCGUGCCAGCCGCCGCCGUAA